UUUUGAACCUUAGAAAACCUAAUAAAUUGCAUAUUUCUUACCUAUAAAUAUUGUUUGCAAUCAAAUGAAUCUUUAUAAAUUUCUUCACACGAUAUAGAGUGAGUGAGUGAGUGAGAGAGAGAAAGAAAGAUCAUCUUCAAAUGAAGCUAUUGUGGUUCAUUUUGCUCUUGUUUCUCAUCAUUCUUCUCUUCCAAGCAUAUAAUUCUUCUGCUGGCAGGUCAGAAAAUAUUACAUGUCCACCUCCAUCUCCGGAAGGGAGCACCUCUCCUGUUGGUAGUUUUUCUGUUCCGAAUCCAUAGUGUUCACUACAUAUAAUUAAUGUAGUCUUAUGUAAUUUAUUUUUGUCGAGGUAAUAUAAUUUAUCAUGAUAUGUUUCUACUUAUUAAAAAAAAUUAAUAAUAAAAUUAACAGUAUAAAUAUGCCUA
Molecule: long non-coding RNA, 425 nt
Organism: Humulus lupulus (European hop)
Lineage: Eukaryota; Viridiplantae; Streptophyta; Magnoliopsida; Rosales; Cannabaceae
Exons: 2
Source: RefSeq, a predicted model, not a curated record